This 479-nucleotide ribosomal RNA is filed under the name uncultured bacterium. Its description in RNAcentral is "partial 16S ribosomal RNA". It matches the Rfam family "Bacterial small subunit ribosomal RNA", at positions 28 to 507 of the family's 1533-position model. The record is from RNAcentral.
GAUGAACGCUAGCGGGAGGCCUAACACAUGCAAGCCGAGCGGUAGAGAUGCUUCUGGAUCUUGAGAGCGGCGUACGGGUGCGGAACACGUGUGCAACCUGCCUUUAUCAGGGGGAUAGCCUUUCUAAAGGAAGAUUAAUACCCCAUAAUAUAUUUUAUGGCAUCAUUAGAUAUUGAAAGCUUUGUCGGAUAGAUAUGGGCAUGCGCAAGAUUAGAUAGUUGGUGAGGUAACGGCUCACCAAGUCGAUGAUCUUUAGGGGGCCUGAGAGGGUGAUCCCCCACACUGGUACUGAGACACGGACCAGACUCCUACGGGAGGCAGCAGUGAGGAAUAUUGGACAAUGGGUUAGCGCCUGAUCCAGCCAUCCCGCGUGAAGGACGACGGCCCUAUGGGUUGUAAACUUCUUUUGUACAGGGAUAAACCUACUCUCGUGAGAGUAGCUGAAGGUACUGUACGAAUAAGCACCGGCUAACUCCGUG